GGAAACCGGUGCAAUCCCGGUGCGGUCGCGCCACUGUGAACUGCCAUCAACGGCAGUAAGCCAGGACGC
Molecule: small RNA, 69 nt
Filed under: Actinoplanes sp. SE50/110
Lineage: Bacteria; Bacillati; Actinomycetota; Actinomycetes; Micromonosporales; Micromonosporaceae
Source: RNAcentral